AUGGCUAGGAUUAAUUACGUCAUCAUUUCCCUGAUCCCCAAAUUAGUUGGGGCGACGGAUAUCCGGCAGUUCCGCCCCAUCACGGUGAUCAACGUGUUGGAGCGAAUCUUUGCGAAGGUUUGUGCAACCCGUUUAUCACCGGUGGCGGAGCGUAUUUCUCACCCCCUCCAGUCCGGUUCUUGA
This 183-nucleotide ribosomal RNA is filed under the name Triticum aestivum (bread wheat). Its description in RNAcentral is "partial small subunit ribosomal RNA". Lineage: Eukaryota; Viridiplantae; Streptophyta; Magnoliopsida; Poales; Poaceae. The record is from RNAcentral.